RNAcentral lists this ribosomal RNA (434 nucleotides) under uncultured bacterium. RNAcentral describes it as "partial 16S ribosomal RNA". It matches the Rfam family "Bacterial small subunit ribosomal RNA", at positions 29 to 507 of the family's 1533-position model. The record is from RNAcentral.
AGCGAACGCUGGCGGCAGGCCUAACACAUGCAAGUCGAACGAACCUUUCGGGGUUAGUGGCGGACGGGUGAGUAACACGUGGGAACGUGCCUUUAGGUUCGGAAUAACUCAGGGAAACUUGUGCUAAUACCGAAUGUGCCCUUCGGGGGAAAGAUUUAUCGCCUUUAGAGCGGCCCGCGUCUGAUUCGCUGGUUGGUUGAGGUAAUGGCUCACCAAGGCGACGAUGAGUAGCUGUGCUGAGCGGAGGAUCAGCCACAUUGGGACUGAGACACGGCCCAAACUCCUACGGGAGGCAGCAGUGGGGAAUCUUGCGGAAGGGGCGAAAGCCUGACGCAGCCAUGCCGGGUGAAUGAUGAAGGGCUUAGGAUUGUAAAAUUCUUUCACCGGGGACGAUAAUGACGGUACCCGGAGAAGAAGCCCCGGCUAACUUCGUG